RNAcentral lists this transfer RNA (102 nucleotides) under Streptomyces fumigatiscleroticus. Its description in RNAcentral is "tRNA-Ala". Lineage: Bacteria; Bacillati; Actinomycetota; Actinomycetes; Kitasatosporales; Streptomycetaceae. The record is from RNAcentral.
CGGACGAGGAGGUCCUCGGGCGGGAGCGCGGCUUGCUUCGCGCGCCAGCGGGUCUCGUCGCCGACGGACUUCGUGCGCUGUUCGAGGCGGUGGUCGGCCGUC